AUACAAUUUCUUAAAAAAAAAAAGUCCAAGUAUAAAUUUUAUUAAGGGUAGUUGUUUAAGGCUGCGUUGAUUCGGAUAUAACUAAGAAUUGCUUAUUCUAGAGAUAGGUACUAGUUCAGGUAUAAUCAGAAACUACACCAAUUUUGCAUUUGAAUAAAAAUUAAUUUGUUCCUAGGAAUAAGAUAAAUAAUGUUUGGAUGGUUAGAUUGAAAAAAAGAAAAUAAGAGUUAUAAUUUUAAAUUAAAAUUAUUUUAUCUAAUUAAUUAACAUCAAAAUAUUAUUUAAAAAUAAUUUAAUAAAUUAAUAAAUUUAUUAGCUAUGAAUAUUGUAUAAGAUAAUAAAAAUAUAUUAAUUAAUUAAUUAAAUAUAAAAAAUAAUUUAAUUUUUUAAUAAGUUAGUACAUUAUUUUAGCUAGAUAACUAGUAAAAAAAUUAACCAGAUUAAUAAAUAAUUAAUGGUUAAUCAAUAUAAAUAUUAGUUUAUGGAUAAAUACAUUAAAUUAUAAAUCAAAUCCGUCCACAGAAACACAACAACCCUUGGUCAUCCACAAGGAAAUCACCGGUGUAACCUUCAACCAUCUUAGCUCGAAUCUUUUGUAACUUCACAUCGUGAACUUGCUUUUUCCUAAUUCUUUUCAAUAAUGUUGGUUGCACCACCAAUGCCAUCAAUUUCAAGGAU
This 678-nucleotide long non-coding RNA is filed under the name Ananas comosus (pineapple). RNAcentral describes it as "long non-coding RNA (ACOM_LNC042217)". The record is from RNAcentral. Lineage: Eukaryota; Viridiplantae; Streptophyta; Magnoliopsida; Poales; Bromeliaceae.